ACCCCUGGGGCAAAAGGUAAGAGGCUCCCAGCCCAUCCAUUCUAAGAACCAGCCUCCUCCCCCCACUAAAAAGAAACUCCCCAGUUUUGUUUUUCCUUUCUUUCUUUUUUCUCUUUCUUCCUUUUUCUUUUUUUUCAACCAGCUACUGUCAAAGUUUAAAUCUAAGCCCUUGGGGGAUGUCUCCCGGAUCUAAGCCUCCCCUGAAUUCUGAAUACAUUCCCAGAAUCCCAACCAUCCCCACCCCCACUCCCCAUCUUGAGGACUCGGGUCAGACAAAAUCACCUAUCUUCUUCCCAAUGGUUGUGUCUUUGGGGGUGCGGGAUGGGAGCUGCCUUUGCCUAGGCUGGGUCAGUGGUACCCUCCCGCAGCUCCACAACGUCUGGCUAAAAUGCAAACGCUGGUCGGGGAGCUGGAAGGUGAAGACACGAAGGGGUGGCCCUUGACUUGCUCCGGCACUCUGGGAGCAUUUCAAAAAAAAAAAAGAUAAACGCCUUUAUCCUCCCCCACAGUCUCCCUCCAAGCAAGGAGGCACCCACACACUACACUGAGCCACCUCGGGGCCCGGUUCACCCGUGAGUCAAGCCCAAGUUCUCUGGACAAACCGGAUUCCAGAGUGUCCUCGCCUGGGACCUGGAUACCUGUGUCCGAGGCUGAGCGGCACAGAUCGCAGCAGCUGGACCUCCUCUCUCACCCUCAGGAGCUACAGCUCCUCCAAAGCGGCCCUCCUGUCCCAGGCACGGGAACUCCUUCAGCAGAUGCACCCUCUGCGUAUAGUACUUUUUCUUGGCUUCUUUCCAGUGCGGUUCCUCCAGCACCUCAAAGAUCGCCGCCCCGAUGGCCAGGUAGAAGAUGAUGGCCGAGGCCCCAUCCUCACCCUUGGAUCAACAAUUUCCAUGGAGAUCAGAAGCUAUGCCCCUUGGUUGGGGGAAGGGCUUUGGAAAAUAAAAACUGCACUGAAACCAAUGACUGUCUAGACAACUUGAGCCUGAAGGAUAGAAAAGGGGAGUGUAGGGAAAUGGGCAAUGGGGGCAGGGCAGCAAAAUUAUUUUCUUACCCUGCUGGU
Molecule: long non-coding RNA, 1063 nt
Organism: Erinaceus europaeus (western European hedgehog)
Lineage: Eukaryota; Metazoa; Chordata; Mammalia; Eulipotyphla; Erinaceidae
Exons: 3
Source: RefSeq, a predicted model, not a curated record